AUGCUAAUGAAGGAGUUGGGGUUGUGGAUAUUUACGUUCAUCGGGAGCCGCCCUUCAUUCACCACAUGGUUAAAAGCUGAGCGCGUUCGCGGCACUUUCGCAAUUUUACUACGGUUUUGUAACGCAACCCAGCGCGUGCUCGGAUGCUGUAUUUCCACCGUCGGCGCUAGAAGUUUACCGUUUAGUUUCGACGAUUUGCCCGGAGCGUUGACAGUGAACGGUUGGGAUCAGCCGCAAUGCUCUGCGCUGGAAGUAUUGCACUUGUCCCGGCCUGUGAAGAGCACGGGAAAUUGUCCAGCUGUUUUUGUGUUCUUUAAUAAAAUGUUAACGUGUGUAUGUAUGUGUGUGUAUAUAAUAUUUUGUUCCCUCCGUCUUGUAUGUUAAAAUUUGAUCAUCUCAAUAAAAGUUUUAAAUGCAUAUUUGCUUGUGAAGUUGUAUUUUAAUAUUUCAAGCUGUAGAACGGUUGAAUUUUUCCUUGUAAAGUGUUUUUUUUGUUUGUUUUUUUUGUUUGUUUUUUUUUUUUACUGUAAUGGUAUUACAAGAUCUGUUUUUGUAUUAAAACAUGACCAGUAUUAAGUUUAUUAUAGGUUAAUGGGAUUUAUUGGGUUAAAUGUUUAGUGGAUUCAUAUCACAUGCUACCAAAGUUUGACUUUUUUUUUUUUCUCCACAUUUUAGAAUAAUAGUAAUAGUUUGAAAAGUAGAUUUGAAAAUUAUCUAAAAAAAAAAAAUAACUUAAUUGUUUUGCAUUGAUACAUGGCCCUUUAGUUUGAGAGAAACAUGUAAGUGUCAGUGUUUGAUUAGUUGUUCAAACUUAAAUUCAUUCAAUGUUAGAUUUUUUUAUUAUUAUUAUUGUAUAUAUCAAAUGUUUUUGCACAUUAUUUUUUUCUGAAUACUUUAAUAUUGGAGUUCCGUAAUAGCCGCCUUUUUAAAUCUAUAAAAGCCUUUUUUUUUUUUUUUUGGUCAAACAUGCAGGUAACUGUUUGAACACUAGAUGGCCGUAUUGUAUUUGGAAUAAUCUAGAAUGACUCGUUCAUGUUUAGUAUUUGUUUGACGACUUUGUGAAAACACACGCUUUUAUUAGUCUAUAUAAAGAUAUUAAACUCAUCCGAAUCCUUUGCUUUAGCAGAAGCACCUGCUUUAACCAUUUAAAAUAAAUGAUUUCUAAAUUAUUUUCGUGAAGUUGCGUUUACGAGUGUUUUCAUUAAUGUUCACUUUUAUGUCCUGGGUUUAACACCCUUUAAUGUCAAAUGUAAAAUCUAAGUAGUCUUCAGUAGGCCUACUUGGAGUGAAAUUUUUGAAUAAAGUUAACGAGACAGUGAAGAAUGCUUAAAAAAAAUGUAGCCCAAUUAGGCCUAUCACUUUUGAACAUUUGAAAGUUUUAAUUCACAUUGGUCAAAUGUUGCAUAAAGUGUUAAAAUAUAUUUAGAUAAGAUACUAGCUAUUAAAUCAGAAAUCCUAAAGUUUAAUGUGAAUCGUUUUAGCAAAGCAAACUAUAUAGGCUUAUUUGUGAUGUGAAAGUGAUAUUUGAUGGUUCAGAUAUAAAUGGUGUUUUUCUGGUUAUGCAUGUAUAUCCACUGUUUCUGAGAGCAGAUGAUGCAUGAUCAUUGUUAUCAGAGACCUCAAACUUGUGUUGACGCUAAAGUGUGUUUGUAAAAGAUAUGAACCAGGUUUAGGACUGAUGUGCAUAGGUUGUACUAUAAGAGGACUUUGAACCUGUGUGUGGAGCUCAUCCUCCAAUUUUAUCAUAUGUGAUGGAGUUGUGCAAUAGUGACUACAAACCACAUCCAUUCAUCUGCAGCAUCUCUGACUCUCAUAAACUUAUUAAAAUAUAUUGCAGUAAAAAUCCAUCUGUCUGAAUAACAGAAAGGCCUGUGCAUCCAUCAAACUGUAUCCUCCAUAUUUCAGUCAUUUAAAACUUUCAGACAAGACUUUACCUUUCAAGGCUUACUUGACUUUUUUAUGUUUUGCCUUUGUGACUUCUGGAAGGUCUGUUUUAAUGCAUUGGACAUUAAAAUUUAAAGUUUUGCUAUAGUCAGACUUUUAAGAUUCCAUGCUUGAGAUAAAAUAUUUUAAGCAAGGUUAAUUGUCAUUUCACAUUAAUUUUAACAACUUUUCUGAAUAUUGCCUUAAAUGAAAACUUUUUGCAUUUAUAUGAUCGAUUAAGUAUAGCUUUUUGCUCACUGUUUACAGCUGUUCUAGUUUAUUUUCAGGAAGCAGAGCUUCACUUCAGUCCUUCGCUGGGUCUGUCUGUAAUUAUGAUUUAACUACAGAUAAACAGAAGUAACGAUGCCCAUCAUAUGAUUUUUGAUCUAGAAUGGGAGUGCAAUAAAUCUGACUAAAAUAUUUUGGUAAAAUAUUUACAUCCAAAAGUGAAAGAACUUCAAAUCUGUUCCCCCAUUCAAAACAGCAGCAUACACUGCAGAAUAAAGAUUGACAGAUUUUCUUAUUUUAAAACAGAGCCAUUGUUUGUGCAGUAAACCACUGUUUAAUAAAAGAAAAAAUAAAUUAUCCUGCUGUACCAAAAAAACAUACCAAUCCAUGGAUUCAAAACCAAAGAAAUUUGUUUCCUUGAUGGAAUAAAAAUAUUUUUUUGAAAAAAGUAUUUGUGGCUUUAUCUCACAAUAUUGACUUGUUUAUUUAUAAUUGCGAGUUAUAAACUCGUUUACAUCUCUCAAUAUACUUUUUGAGUUUGCAUCUCGAAAUUUGAUAUUUUAUCUCAGACAUUAAUCUCAAAAUUCUAAAUUUUUUCAUCUGAAUUAUUAGUAUACAUCUAAGAAUAUAAAGUUUUUUCUUAAAAUUGAGUUUAAUUCUAACUUUUUAUCUCAGAAUUUUUAGUUUGCUUCUUAAAAUUAACUUUUUUUUUUUCCUAAAAUUGAGUUUGCAUCUUUAAUUUCUGUUGUUUUUUUGUUUUUUUUUUUUUUUGUUUGUUUUUUUUGUUUUUUUUGUUUUUGUUUUCUAAGAAUUCUGAAUUUGCAUCUUUAAAUUGACAUUUUUCCCCCCAGGUUUUGAGUUAGCAUUUUUAAAUUCUGACUCUUUCUCAGAAUUUUGACACUUCUUGCAAAAAAAAAAAAAAGUUACAGUUACCUCUUCUUUUUUAUUUCAUGGGGAAAAUACACUUCCAUGGGCCACAACAUGGACCAGCACCAGUGUGAAAUCAGACAGUAUAUAAUGUGACAGGAGCCGAUGGGAACCUGAUCCUGAGUGUCUACUCAUUAUUCAUCUAAAUC
Molecule: long non-coding RNA, 3227 nt
Organism: Cyprinus carpio carpio
Lineage: Eukaryota; Metazoa; Chordata; Actinopteri; Cypriniformes; Cyprinidae
Source: Ensembl